This 457-nucleotide ribosomal RNA is filed under the name uncultured bacterium. RNAcentral describes it as "bacterial SSU rRNA". It matches the Rfam family "Bacterial small subunit ribosomal RNA", at positions 918 to 1379 of the family's 1533-position model. The record is from RNAcentral.
GGCCCGCACAAGCGGUGGAUUAUGUGGUUUAAUUCGAUGAUACGCGAGGAACCUUACCAAGACUUAAAUGGGAACUGAUCGGCUUAGAAAUAGGCCUUCCUUCGGGCAGUUUUCAAGGUGCUGCAUGGUUGUCGUCAGCUCGUGCCGUGAGGUGUUAGGUUAAGUCCUGCAACGAGCGCAACCCCUGUCACUAGUUGCUAACAUUUAGUUGAGGACUCUAGUGAGACUGCCUACGCAAGUAGAGAGGAAGGUGGGGAUGACGUCAAAUCAUCACGGCCCUUACGUCUUGGGCCACACACGUAAUACAAUGGCCGGUACAGAGGGCAGCUACACAGCGAUGUGAUGCAAAUCUCGAAAGCCGGUCUCAGUUCGGAUUGGAGUCUGCAACUCGACUCUAUGAAGCUGGAAUCGCUAGUAAUCGCGCAUCAGCCAUGGCGCGGUGAAUACGUUCCCGGGC